Molecule: ribosomal RNA, 257 nt
Filed under: uncultured bacterium
Lineage: Bacteria
Description: partial 16S ribosomal RNA
Rfam family: Bacterial small subunit ribosomal RNA
Source: RNAcentral
UACGUAGGGGGCAAGCGUUGUCCGGAAUCAUUGGGCGUAAAGAGCGUGUAGGCGGCCCGAUAAGUCCGCUGUGAAAGUCCAGGGCUCAACCCUGGAAUGCCGGUGGAUACUGUCGGGCUCGAAUCCGGAAGAGGUGGAGUGGAAUUCCGUGGUGUAGCGGUGAAAUGCGCAGAGUAUCAGGAGGAACACCAAUGGCGAAGGCAGCUCACUGGGACGGUAUUGACGCUGGAGACGCGAAAGCGGUGGGAGCAAACAGG